RNAcentral lists this ribosomal RNA (253 nucleotides) under uncultured bacterium. RNAcentral describes it as "partial 16S ribosomal RNA". It matches the Rfam family "Bacterial small subunit ribosomal RNA", at positions 524 to 776 of the family's 1533-position model. The record is from RNAcentral.
UACGAAGGUGGCAAGCGUUGUUCGGAUUUACUGGGCGUAAAGGGAGCGUAGGUGGUUAGGUAAGCCCUCCGGGAAAUCUUCAGGCUUAACCUGAAAAGGUCGGGGGGGACUGCCUAGCUAGAGGGCGGGAGAGGAGCGCGGAAUUCCCGGUGUAGCGGUGAAAUGCGUAGAGAUCGGGAGGAAGGCCGGUGGCGAAGGCGGCGCUCUGGACUGACAUUGACGCUGAGGCACGAAAGCGUGGGGAUCAAACAGG